CUGCUCCUGCCUGGAGAACCUCCUGCCCUCCUGCUGCACUGACCUUGGGGGCUGCAGGGCUGGUUCUCUCACAUUUUCGCACUCCUUUUCCUAGCUGCUGUUGAAUUCCCAGCAGAAUUUCCUUUUCUUAAAUCUGCUGUCACAGAGGUGUAACCAGCAUUGCUCAUUGGCUCAGCUCUGGCCAGAGGCCAGUGCCUUUUGGAGCUGGAUCUUAUCACACUUGGAGCAGCUUCUAGACUUUUCUCACAGAGGCUGCCUCCACGGUCCUUUGUGCUAUGAAAACUUUGCCACGUAAGCCCAAUACACUCUAAUAUAACAGUCCAGUGAAAUUUUGCAGAGAGAGUUGCUAGUUACAUGUCAUUAACUAAUUGGAGCUUUAUACUGGAGUCCGAAAGGUACCCUGGAAGAUCAUCUGGCCUAGCCCUCUGCUCAAGGAGGGCCACCUAAAUCAGGCUGCCCAGGACCAAGUUCAGGCAGCUUUUGAAAGUCUCCAGGGAGGGAAACUCCACAGUCUCUCUGGGCAACCUGUGCCAGUGCUCAGCUACCUGCACAGCACAGUGCUUCCUGAUGUUCAGAGGGAAACUCGCGUUACAAUUUCUCUCCAUUGCCUCUUGUCCUGGCACUGGGCACAAAAUAAUUAAUUAAAAUGAGAUGCAGACCAUGAAAUUCUCUGGAAUUUACCUAUUAAAGACUGUCUGCAUGCAAUCUAUAAACAGAAAGUUGACCAUUUAUAUCAUCUCUGCAGAUUUUCGGUGCUCUACAAGCAUGCCUUCUGCACGAAGAAUGGAAUAUAAAGAGAUUUCAGAAUGCCUAAAUGUGUUAAUUUCCAGUUUUUUACUCCUAAACCGAUCCCAUGAAAAUGGUACAUAUGAAAAAGUUUUGUUUGGUUGGUUUUUUUUUAUAAGAAAAAAAAAUAUUAUUGCUCCAGAUUUUUUAGUCUAAAUAUGUGAAUGUAUUUGAAUCUUGCUGUUGAUAUAAGCAGCCUUUGGAUAGUUUGCUAGGCUGGCAAAAGCUGUCCGUCAAGAAGAGAAGCAAACAAUAUUCAGCAUUUUUAAUGCAUCAUUUUGAUACCAGGUGACAAUGGCUCCUUUCUAGAAGAGAAAUUGAUCUUUCAAUACAUAUUGGCUCUCCUACAGUUGUAGAGUCUAAAGCAAUAGCUCUCGUGGUGCAA
RNAcentral lists this long non-coding RNA (1171 nucleotides) under Anser cygnoides (Swan goose). RNAcentral describes it as "lncRNA (ENSACDG00005010052.1)". Lineage: Eukaryota; Metazoa; Chordata; Aves; Anseriformes; Anatidae. The record is from RNAcentral.